This 274-nucleotide ribosomal RNA is filed under the name uncultured bacterium. RNAcentral describes it as "partial 16S ribosomal RNA". It matches the Rfam family "Archaeal small subunit ribosomal RNA", at positions 473 to 747 of the family's 1478-position model. The record is from RNAcentral.
AAACCAGCACCCCAAGUGGUCAGGAGGAUUAUUGGGCCUAAAGCAUCCGUAGCCUGCGUUGUAAGUUUCCGGUUAAAUCCAUUAGCUUAACUGAUGGGCCGCCGGAAAAACUGCAAAGCUAGGGAGUGGGAGAGGUAGACGGUACUCGGUAGGAAGGGGUAAAAUCCUUUGAUCUAUUGAUGAACACCUGUGGCGAAGGCGGUCUACCAGAACACGUUCGACGGUGAGGGAUGAAAGCUGGGGGAGCAAACCGGAUUAGAAACCCCAGUAGUCC